This 253-nucleotide ribosomal RNA is filed under the name uncultured bacterium. RNAcentral describes it as "partial 16S ribosomal RNA". It matches the Rfam family "Bacterial small subunit ribosomal RNA", at positions 524 to 776 of the family's 1533-position model. The record is from RNAcentral.
UACAGAGGUCCCAAGCGUUGUUCGGAUUCAUUGGGCGUAAAGGGUGCGUAGGUGGCGUCGUAAGUCGGGUGUGAAAUCUCGGGGCUUAACUCCGAAACUGCAUUCGAUACUGCGGUGCUUGAGGACUGGAGAGGAGACUGGAAUUUACGGUGUAGCAGUGAAAUGCGUAGAGAUCGUAAGGAAGACCAGUGGCGAAGGCGGGUCUCUGGACAGUUCCUGGCACUGAGGCACGAAGGCCAGGGGAGCAAACGGG